Molecule: long non-coding RNA, 1225 nt
Filed under: Nicotiana tabacum (common tobacco)
Lineage: Eukaryota; Viridiplantae; Streptophyta; Magnoliopsida; Solanales; Solanaceae
Description: long non-coding RNA (NTAB_LNC006124)
Source: RNAcentral
UUGUUUCAACUGUUUGGGUGGACUGCAUAACUUGAUCAAUAGAAGGAGAAAAUGGAAUAUCAGUUUGCAUAUUCUCUUUGUCAUGAACCAAAGAGUUUUUAUUCUUUGUUUGCACUCCUUGAGCGGAAAACAUGGUUGUGUCUAAUCUUGUACUCUUAGAAGGUCUUGACAUGCUUUGACUUGCAUAAUGAGCAUUAUGAUGAAAGGAUCGUUCCUCAUUUUCAGACUCUUCAAAGGAGCACAUAGAUCUAAGCUCUCGCCUUCGUCCUUUCCCUAGAGUACCUGAUGUAAGAAAUCAUAUUACUAAAAGUUUGAUAUUAAAGUAAAUUCAGUUAAAAAAAGAAUAGAAUUGAGAAGUUACAGCAUAUUACGCCGCAAGCUGUUUUCAUUAUUUUACUACAGAACAUUUUCAAGACCAACACUUGAAAUAGGAAAGCAUUGUUAUGGAAAAAGGUCAGUGAGUGUACCAAAUAGAUCCUACAACCUUUAACCUGAUGCAUAGCCUAUAACUAUCUUAAUAACUAGGACAACCACAAGAUAUCAUGUGCUCAACACCUUAGCAAAGCAAUAUAAUUACCAAGUACAAGAACUAUAAAAACCAUCUAUCAAUGAACAAUUUUGACAUAUCUUUGGUGUUGUCCACAUAGAUAGAUGAGAAGUGAACGAGACCAUUUUUCACUAUUCUGGUUCUGAUCCUCAACAUGCCAAUAGGAAGUAACUCCUAAAAUGAACUGAAAAACCAUUGGUCAACAUAUAUUAUAUCAUUCAUAGGAAGGUGGAUCAUUUGGCAUCCUAACAGUCAUGUACUUGGACAAAUUUUGGCCAGUCCAGAGUGAUGUAAAAGCAUGACGCAAACAACAGAAUACAGAAAAAGACAUACACCAAGCAGUCAUUAUCAUCAACUAAACAAUCUACAUUCACAACUAUACUAAAUGUCUCAAUCGAAAAAAACACAUACUUGUUUUCACUUUUUGGGUGGAUUGCAUAACUUGAUCAUCAGAAGGAGAAAACAGAAUAUUAGUUUUCACAUUCUCUUUGUCAUGAACCAAAGGGUUUUUAUUCAUUGUUCGCAAUCCUUGAGCAGCAAACAUGGUGCUCUUAGAAGGUCUUGACAUACUUUGACUGGCAUAAUGAGCAUUCUGAUGGAAGGAUCGCUCCUCAUUUUCAUACUCUUCAAGGGAGCAUAUAGAUCUAAGUUCUUGCCCUCGUCCCUUCCCUAGAGCAC